RNAcentral lists this ribosomal RNA (462 nucleotides) under uncultured bacterium. RNAcentral's name for it is "partial 16S ribosomal RNA". It matches the Rfam family "Bacterial small subunit ribosomal RNA", at positions 28 to 507 of the family's 1533-position model. The record is from RNAcentral.
GAUCAACGCUGGCGGCGUGCUUAACACAUGCAAGUCGAACGAAGUUUUUCUUUCGGGAGGAACUUAGUGGCGGACGGGUGAGUAACGCGUGGGUAACCUGCCCUGUACAGGGGGACAACAGCUGGGAACGGCUGCUAAUACCGCAUAAGCCCUUAGCACUGCAUGGUGCAUAGGGAAAAGGAGCAAUCCGGUACAGGAUGGACCCGCGUCUGAUUAGCCAGUUGGCAGGGUAACGGCCUACCAAAGCGACGAUCAGUAGCCGAUCUGAGAGGAUGUACGGCCACAUUGGGACUGAGACACGGCCCAGACUCCUACGGGAGGCAGCAGUGGGGAAUAUUGCACAAUGGAGGAAACUCUGAUGCAGCGACGCCGCGUGAGUGAAGAAGUAUUUCGGUAUGUAAAGCUCUAUCAGCAGGAAAGAAAAUGACGGUACCUGACUAAGAAGCACCGGCUAAAUACGUG